This 942-nucleotide non-coding RNA is filed under the name Phycodurus eques (leafy seadragon). RNAcentral's name for it is "12S ribosomal RNA". It matches the Rfam family "Bacterial small subunit ribosomal RNA". The record is from RNAcentral. Lineage: Eukaryota; Metazoa; Chordata; Actinopteri; Syngnathiformes; Syngnathidae.
CAAAGGCUUGGUCCUAACUUUGCUGUCACCUAAAGCUAAAUUUACACAUGCAAGUAUCCGCAGCCCCGUGAGAAUGCCCUUAACCCUCUUAUGAGAUCAAGGAGCGGGUAUCAGGCACACUACCGUAGCCCAUUACACCUUGCUUAGCCACACCCCCAAGGGAAUUCAGCAGUGAUAAACAUUAAGCCAUAAGUGCAAACUUGACUUAGUUAAAGCUUAGAGGGCCGGUAAAACUCGUGCCAGCCACCGCGGUUAUACGAGAGGCCCAAGCUGACAGAAACCGGCGUAAAGAGUGGUUAAGACAUUAAGUAAUUUAAAGCUAAACCUCUUCAAAGCUGUUAUACGCAUCCGAAGUUAUGAAAAUCCUUUACGAAAGUGACUUUAAUAUUUCUGAACCCACGAAAGCUAUGAAACAAACUGGGAUUAGAUACCCCACUAUGCCUAGCCGUAAACAUUGAUAGCAACUUACCUAACUAUCCGCCCGGGUACUACAAGCAUCAACUUGAAACCCAAAGGACUUGGCGGUGCUUUAGACCCACCUAGAGGAGCCUGUUCUAGAACUGAUAACCCCCGUUAAACCUCACCCUCCCUUGUUAUUUCCGCCUAUAUACCGCCGUCGUCAGCUUACCCUAUGAGGGUUUUAUAGUGAGCACAACUGGUAUAACCUUAAACGUCAGGUCGAGGUGUAGUAGAUGGGAGGGGAAGUAAUGGGCUACAUUCGUCCACUGACGAAUAACGAAUAACUUAUUGAAAAAUAGGUCUGAAGGAGGAUUUAGCAGUAAAAAGGAAGUAGAGUGUCCUUUUGAAACUGGCCCUGAAGCGCGCACACACCGCCCGUCACUCUCCCCUACUUUAAAUCAUCUAAUAACUAAUACAUCACAUAUUAUAAGGGGAGGCAAGUCGUAACAUGGUAAGUGUACCGGAAGGUGCACUUGGAAUACA